UCGAGUGACGGGCGGCGUACGCGUCGUCUGCGCCUUCCGUUCUCCGAACUGUAGUUGAAUGCGUGCACUUUUCCCCCAGUAGGACGUCGCGAUCCGUUGGGUGUCGGUCUAAGGACCGCGGUGGAGUCCGUCUGGACGGCUUGCCGAUCCGGACGAACCCGCGGUUUCCCGCCCGGCUCGCUCGACGGUAUACAUAUGGCGCGAGGCCGCUAUUUAGUUAGCGUUCGACCCGUGGCAAGCGCGCUCGUCGUGUCGGUGAUCGGACCUGGUCCGGUCCCGGCCCCGGGUGGCUGUUCGCUGCGGUGUUCUCGGACAGACCUCGUUGAAACGCCAAUCAGCGACGCUAUAGCUUUGGGUACUUUCAGGACCCUUCUUGAAACACGGACCAAGGAGUCUAGCAUGUGCGCGAGUCAUUGGGACAUGACUAAACCUAAAGGCGCAAUGAAAGUGAAGGUCCGCCUUGCGCGGACCGAGGGAGGA
Molecule: ribosomal RNA, 480 nt
Filed under: Coleoptera sp. NZAC03010886
Lineage: Eukaryota; Metazoa; Arthropoda; Insecta; Coleoptera
Description: eukaryotic LSU rRNA
Source: RNAcentral